GGAGCCUCCUAGUGGCAAAUCUAAUAAUGGCAUUAAUCAUAAAAACAAAAAAAAUAGAUCUCAUAUAUCUGUUACUCCUUAUGCAGAUUAAUCUUUCUAUGAGGAUUAAAUUAAGGUGGGAUAUGUGAUAAUUAUAGUGAUGCUUAGUUCUUUGAUUUUCAGUGAGUCAAAACUUCACACCUAAAAUUACUAUAAUUUUGUCUCAAUAAUAAUUCAUUAUUACAAAUUGAAAAUUGUAGUAUAUUUAUUUUAUCUACUAGUUCCUUAACAGUGGCUAUCAUUGUUCUCAAUUCAUACUGAAAUGCUAGCUAUAGGACCAUUGUUAUGAAACUGUUGGAGCAUUAUAUUCUGUUGAAAGAUGUGAAAGAAAAGCCUGAAUUACCAAAAAAUUGAUAUUAUGAAAAUAAUACACAUUAAUUAUCCAUGAUAGUAAAACUUUUAAAAUAUAAAACUCUUUUAAAAAUCAUCCAUAAACUUGCUUCUUAGUGUUUUUCUCUGUAGGAUUCAAAAAAUAUUAUAAAAUAUUUCUGAACAAUAUAAUGAAUACUUAUGUAAACAUAUAUAGUUAAAAAAUAAAAUGUGAUCAGUAUAGUUGAAACCUUCUGUGUACCCUAGAUCACAUCCCUUUUAUUCUAUCCCAAAGGUAAUCACAAUCCUACAUUGGUUGUUUUAAAAGUCAAUAUAUAUAUGUGAAUAAAAAGAAAUAUGAACAUAUAUAUGUGUGUGUGUGUGUGUAUGUGUACUUGGGGAUUGAACCCAAGGACCCUCUAGUGCCGAGCUACAUACCCAGACCUUUUUAUUUAUUUUUAUUUUUAUUAUUUUUUACUACUGGAGAUUUAACCCAGGGAUGCUUUACCACUGAGCUACAUUUCCAGCCCCUUUUAUUUUUUAUUUUGAGACAGGGUUUGGCUGAAUUACUGAGGCUGGCCUCAAACUUGCAAUCCUUCUGCUUUAGUGUCCCAAAUAGCUGAUAUGGUACUGCACCUAGCUAUAUAUUGUAUUCUUAGAAUUACAUUUUAUUUAUUUACUUUUUUGGUACUAUGGAUUGAACUCAUGGGUGUUAACUACUGAGCCACAUCCCCAGCCAUUUUUUAUUUUUUAUUUUGAGACAGGGUCUCACUAAUGUGCUUAGAGCUUUGCUCAGUUGCUGAGGCUAGCUUUGAACUUGUGAUCCUCCUGUCUCUGCCUCCUGAAUUGUUGGGAUUACAGGCAUGCACCCACUGCACCUGGCUUAAAAUUUCAUUUUCAUUUACGAUUAUAUUUGUAAAAUGGAUCUGUGUUGACAUGUAGCUCUUAUUCAUUUAUUUUUGUUGCCAUGUUGUAGUAUCUCUGAAUAUUCCAUGUUUUAUCCAGUCUCUUCUUCAUGGAGUUUAAGUUGUUUUUAAUUUAUUGUUUGUAGUCUCCCAUGAUCACUCUUGUACAUGUUUUUUUAUGUAUACAUGGGUAAGAAUUUGCCAGGGUAGAAACUUGGAAGUACAGUUGUUCUCUUAAAUGGUAUGUGUGCC
Molecule: long non-coding RNA, 1505 nt
Filed under: Marmota monax (woodchuck)
Lineage: Eukaryota; Metazoa; Chordata; Mammalia; Rodentia; Sciuridae
Source: RNAcentral